Molecule: ribosomal RNA, 465 nt
Filed under: Vreelandella stevensii
Lineage: Bacteria; Pseudomonadati; Pseudomonadota; Gammaproteobacteria; Oceanospirillales; Halomonadaceae
Description: partial 16S ribosomal RNA
Rfam family: Bacterial small subunit ribosomal RNA
Source: RNAcentral
CCUACGGGCGGCAGCAGUGGGGAAUAUUGGACAAUGGGGGGAACCCUGAUCCAGCCAUGCCGCGUGUGUGAAGAAGGCCCUCGGGUUGUAAAGCACUUUCAGUGAGGAAGAACGCCUGGUGGUUAAUACCCAUCAGGAAAGACAUCACUCACAGAAGAAGCACCGGCUAACUCCGUGCCAGCAGCCGCGGUAAUACGGAGGGUGCGAGCGUUAAUCGGAAUUACUGGGCGUAAAGCGCGCGUAGGUGGCUUGAUAAGCCGGUUGUGAAAGCCCCGGGCUCAACCUGGGAACGGCAUCCGGAACUGUCAAGCUAGAGUGCAGGAGAGGAAGGUAGAAUUCCCGGUGUAGCGGUGAAAUGCGUAGAGAUCGGGAGGAAUACCAGUGGCGAAGGCGGCCUUCUGGACUGACACUGACACUGAGGUGCGAAAGCGUGGGUAGCAAACAGGAUUAGAUACCCUUGUAGUC